RNAcentral lists this ribosomal RNA (466 nucleotides) under uncultured bacterium. RNAcentral describes it as "partial 16S ribosomal RNA". It matches the Rfam family "Bacterial small subunit ribosomal RNA", at positions 28 to 507 of the family's 1533-position model. The record is from RNAcentral.
GAUGAACGCUGGCGGCGUGCUUAACACAUGCAAGUCGAACGAUGAAGCCCAGCUUGCUGGGUGGAUUAGUGGCGAACGGGUGAGUAACACGUGAGUAACCUGCCCUUAACUCUGGGAUAAGCCGGGGAAACUGGGUCUAAUACCGGAUAGGAGCGCCUACCGCAUGGUGGGUGUUGGAAAGAUUUAUCGGUUUUGGAUGGACUCGCGGCCUAUCAGCUUGUUGGUGAGGUAAUGGCUCACCAAGGCGACGACGGGUAGCCGGCCUGAGAGGGUGACCGGCCACACUGGGACUGAGACACGGCCCAGACUCCUACGGGAGGCAGCAGUGGGGAAUAUUGCACAAUGGGCGAAAGCCUGAUGCAGCGACGCCGCGUUAGGGAUGACGGCCUUCGGGUUGUAAACCUCUUUCAGUAGGGAAGAAGCGAAAGUGACGGUACCUGCAGAAGAAGCACCGGCUAACUACGUG